RNAcentral lists this ribosomal RNA (292 nucleotides) under uncultured Acidobacteriota bacterium. RNAcentral describes it as "uncultured Acidobacteria bacterium partial 16S ribosomal RNA". Lineage: Bacteria; Pseudomonadati; Acidobacteriota. The record is from RNAcentral.
GGACUACCGGGGUAUCUAAUCCUGUUUGCUACCCACGCUUUCGUGUCUCAGCGUCAGUCAUGGUCCAGAAAGCCGUCUACACCACAGGUGUUCCUCCUGAUAUCUACGCAUUUCACCGCUACACCAGGAAUUCCGCUUUCCUCUCCCAUACUCAAGCCUUCCAGUCUUCGGCGCACCCUCCCGGUUAAGCCGGGAGAUUUCACACCAAACUUAGAGGACCGCCUACACACUCUUUACGCCCAGUAACUCCGAACAACGCUUGCUGCCUACGUAUUACCGCGGCUGCUGGCAC